AAUGACCCACCUGCAGUGACGGCUAGUCGGGAACACCGAUUACAAAAUUAAAUAUUCUUUAUAUCUUCCAUGUAAAUUCUCAAACGACACACGCUAGAAAGUAUCAUAGAAAUUCUUUUUAAAAAGAAAGCAAAAUAUCCAACCAUACAUUUUUCACAAUUAAUCAUCUCAAACAACACGUUAUAGAAAAUAACAUAGAAAUUAUUUUUUUAAGAAAAAGAAAAAACAUCCAACCAUACAUUCG
Molecule: long non-coding RNA, 244 nt
Filed under: Setaria italica (foxtail millet)
Lineage: Eukaryota; Viridiplantae; Streptophyta; Magnoliopsida; Poales; Poaceae
Description: long non-coding RNA (SITA_LNC000095)
Source: RNAcentral